Molecule: ribosomal RNA, 436 nt
Filed under: uncultured bacterium
Lineage: Bacteria
Description: bacterial SSU rRNA
Rfam family: Bacterial small subunit ribosomal RNA
Source: RNAcentral
ACUCCGAAACUGCAUUCGAUACUGCCGUGCUUGAGGACUGGAGAGGAGACUGGAAUUUACGGUGUAGCGGUGAAAUGCGUAGAUAUCGUAAGGAAGACCAGUGGCGAAGGCGGGUCUCUGGACAGUUCCUGACGCUGAGGCACGAAGGCCAGGGGAGCAAACGGGAUUAGAUACCCCGGUAGUCCUGGCAGUAAACGGUGCACGUUUGGUGCGGGAGGAUUCGACCCCUUCUGCGCCGGAGCUAACGCGUUAAACGUGCCGCCUGGGGAGUACGGUCGCAAGGUUAAAACUCAAAGAAAUUGACGGGGGCCCGCACAAGCGGUGGAGUAUGUGGCUCAAUUCGAUGCAGCGCGAAGAACCUUACCUGGCCUUGACAUGCAUCUCUAAGUUGGUGAAAGCCAGCGAGUCCCGAAAGGGACAAUUUGCACAGGUGCUG